UUCAACAUUCUAGAAUCACAAACCAUUCUCCACAGAUACUGCAGCAUUUUCACUUAACUACAGUUUCAUUUGAAAAAAAGAGAAAAGAAAGUGCUUUUGAAAUAAGCUCACGGUCAUUCUAUUCAAUCCAAUUCAAUGCAUGAUUGAAUGCGUGGGUUUAAAAAAGUGGGUGCAAAAUGUACUUUUGGAUGUGAAGUUGUCUAAAUGUUAGGAAAGGACAAGCAAGGACAAUAAGGAACAUUAGAGGUCAAUGUCUUGUUUGGCUUUUGAAAUAUGAAGACUUUUGAUGACAAGGUAACAAGGACCUGCGGAAGCCGCAAUAGUUUUGGUGUAAUAUUGCAAGAUCUGUCAUUGCUAUGUUUGUUGGCAUACAAAGUGGCAAUACCGCCAAGUAGUGUGUUAAUGACUAUAAAUUCUAUAAAACAAAAAUCUGUUAGAACACCACAUGGGUCGUGUGCGAGCUGCUCUUUCCUGUUUUAUUCUGGGACUAUGCUUAGACUAUACAGACUGAUCCAAUAUUGCAAGCACCAUUACGGCGAUGUACUGUUCUGUGUCACCUCUGCAAGGACCAGGAAUAUUCUCGGUAGGUGUGAAAGGAGUUUGCAAGAGGAGAAUCACAGGUGUGCCAUGAAAGAUCUGCAAAUGUUACAUUUAUAGCUAACACAAUAUCCAGGCACAAUCGCAUAUGACAAAGACAGAACUGCAUUUGAGUCCAAGAUUGAAUCAGCCAACAUGAAUCCCUCCUGUCACCUUUGCCUGCAAUCUGUCUUCACUCCCCCCAGAACAGCAGGUACCAAAUAUCGCACAAAGGUAUGAUCAUCCAAGCUCUGAGACAUGUCAAAGCCCAUGCAAGCGUGUCACAGUCAAGUCGUGUGCUGAAAAUUAUCCGUGGUCUUGCCUCCGUUAAAAGGUACUUGCAAAACGACAUCUCAUUCGGGGUCUUAUACGGAAACAAAUGGGUAAAAUGAACAUUCUGUAGUUGCAACAGUCAUAUAGAAGAAAUUACAAGGAUUGACCAACAGGUUGAUGAGUCAGUCUUACUAUCCUGCAACGACCAACUAACGAGUACACUAACACUUAAUCAUGCGUGUCUCAUUUUCCGAAUGGCAAAGUUACAGAGGAAUUACCACUUUUCCAUCGGCUGCCAUUGCUGGACUACAAUAAUCUUUGCAGCAUGUCCGGACAAGAACGUGACACAAUCUGUUGGUGUAUGAAUAUAACCAGGUUGUGGAUGAGAAUAGCUAGCUUCGGUUAUUUCGGUUGCCACUUGUCUUAAAAUACUCAUACUAGCGCGGGCAACCACUUUGCGCUAUUGAGAAGUUUAUCCAUAUCUUCACAACGCACAUUAACCAACGCUGUCAUAAAAGGCCGCUGAAUUCAUCACAACGGUACUGCUCAGGAAAUGAAUCUUUUUUUCUUUGUAGUACAGGAAAUACGGUGAUUUCACAUUAUUUUCUGUUUCUACAGUGAAAAUAACACUUUGUGUAUAUAGACAGUAUAUUUGAGUUCAUACGUCUGGCUUGUAAUUCACACAAGCAGAUGUAAUCAAUGGUGAUGGAGACCGGCGGAAAAGCAGCCCACUGCUUUAUUCUCGUGGGAAUAUCCGCCCUGUUCGGGUCGGACCAUCACGGCCGAUGGAGGUAUGGCAUGGAGAGUCUGGACCACGAGGACCGCACACAGACAACGUGUUUCCUUCAGCAUGUGCUAUAAACCCCCCUGAGCACACAUGGCUGUAAUAAGGCAACACAUUAAGCCAUUAUGCUGCUUUUAAGGACGAGUGUGCUCGCCAUAUUGGGAAUUGGGCACUUGACUGUCAUAACUUCCAAUUGUUGCUGUUGCCGCCUGCCUUGGCUACUUGGGGGACAGUGUAAGACCAAGAUCAUUUUUAAUUAUUUCUAAUUCUAUUUGAUUGUC
Syngnathus typhle (broad-nosed pipefish) is the source of this 1914-nucleotide long non-coding RNA. RefSeq lists it as uncharacterized. The transcript is spliced from 3 exons. The record is from RefSeq and is a predicted model, not a curated record. Lineage: Eukaryota; Metazoa; Chordata; Actinopteri; Syngnathiformes; Syngnathidae.